CGAGGGGCCCUCGCAAUGGGGACCUGCGAACCUGGUCAGGGACGAAAGUCAGCAGCCAUAAGCAGUCAUCCUCAUGUGCUGUGGGCCUCUCGUCG
RNAcentral lists this signal recognition particle RNA (95 nucleotides) under Planctomycetaceae bacterium. RNAcentral describes it as "signal recognition particle sRNA small type". It matches the Rfam family "Bacterial small signal recognition particle RNA". From Rfam's summary of the family: The signal recognition particle (SRP) is a universally conserved ribonucleoprotein involved in the co-translational targeting of proteins to membranes. Archaeal SRP consists of a 7S RNA and homologues of the eukaryotic SRP19 and SRP54 proteins. RNAcentral also lists the same sequence under 1 other name. Lineage: Bacteria; Pseudomonadati; Planctomycetota; Planctomycetia; Planctomycetales; Planctomycetaceae. The record is from RNAcentral.